Molecule: transfer RNA, 76 nt
Filed under: Schnuerera ultunensis
Lineage: Bacteria; Bacillati; Bacillota; Tissierellia; Tissierellales; Tepidimicrobiaceae
Also listed under: 8 other names
Description: tRNA-Phe
Rfam family: tRNA
About the family: Transfer RNA (tRNA) molecules are approximately 80 nucleotides in length. Their secondary structure includes four short double-helical elements and three loops (D, anti-codon, and T loops). Further hydrogen bonds mediate the characteristic L-shaped molecular structure. tRNAs have two regions of fundamental functional importance: the anti-codon, which is responsible for specific mRNA codon recognition, and the 3' end, to which the tRNAs corresponding amino acid is attached (by aminoacyl-tRNA synthetases). tRNAs cope with the degeneracy of the genetic code in two manners: having more than one tRNA (with a specific anti-codon) for a particular amino acid; and 'wobble' base-pairing, i.e. permitting non-standard base-pairing at the 3rd anti-codon position.
Source: RNAcentral
GCCCAGAUAGCUCAGUAGGUAGAGCAGGGGACUGAAAAUCCCCGUGUCGGUGGUUCGAUUCCGCCUCUGGGCACCA